This 14397-nucleotide long non-coding RNA is filed under the name Triticum aestivum (bread wheat). RNAcentral describes it as "long non-coding RNA (TAES_LNC007971)". Lineage: Eukaryota; Viridiplantae; Streptophyta; Magnoliopsida; Poales; Poaceae. The record is from RNAcentral.
UUUUUUUUCGUUUUCAAGAGGCACGGCCAUGCCUCUCGCGGAAGCAAAAGCAUGGCUCUCACGAAAGCAAAAAACACGAUUUUUCGUGCAAAAAAUGGAAAAUAUUUUUGAUGAGGCACGGACUACCAAGAUACUAAUUCGUGCGUGUAGAUGGCCCGAUCUUUCACGACGAUACUCAAUCAACACCUCGUCUCCCUGUUCCUCCUCGUAACCUCCAAGAACAAUUUUCACCUGUGUACAAAAAUACACAAACGAAAAUAAUGACCCCCUCGGAUCAGCACGUAGGCGUCGAUGUGAUGAUCAACCCUCCGUUGCUAGUAAAUUUUCACGAUGGAAAAAUCACAGAUAAUACACAAGAUAUGGUCGCCCGUAACUCGGACGUUUUUCUAUAUAUCUCAUACCCGGAAUAAAACUCAAAACUCCCCUCCUUCACAUCGGCCGAAGCCAGCCUUUAUAUGGCUCACGCUGCAACCAGCUCGGCCUAUCUCUAAGGAAGAAAAAAUACAAACGUGAUCUGGUAUAUAACUAACCUCAAGUGCACUACCUAACAAAAUAUAUCUACUCCUACCUGCUAGCUUAAAAAGGUAACAACCACGUGAAGGAAGGAAAUGGCGUGAUUAAAUCCAUGCAGACCUAAACGUGUAGCACUAUGGUGCCAAUCCUAUUCCAUCCAGGAGGUGUACGAAAAAUUAGGAUGCACCUUGGCACGUACGGGUUCCUCCAUAACCUCAGGUUUCUUGCCGUGAUGAGCAUAUACUUCUUGGAAAGGAUCUAACUUCUUUUUAUUUAUCAAACCAAAUUGACAUAUUGGCUUUAUGUAUGGGCGUGGCUCACAAGGCUUCUGCUGAUUGUUUUUCUCUCUAUAAAUCAAUCCUGAUUCUCUCAUAUUGCCUUGUGCAGGUGCACGUACAAGACUCGUAACACAUCCAUGCAUCAAUUUAUAGUCCAAAUAACCAGCUUGAUGUGCGCUCAUCUUCGCAGCACCAAUACCUGGUUCGCAUAUCAUACGUUUCUUGCCAUCUUUGCCAGUGUGCAAUAUAUUUGGACAAUUCAUAAUUUUACCAGUAUCCUUGAUUAGACUCUCCUCGUUCGACUCAGUUGGUUUGAGUUUAGUAGCAUCCGCGCUGGAUAAUAUUCUAGACGAUGUAGUGUUCAUAUCAUCAUCCCUCCCUUGAAACAAAACCGUCCACAGUUUUGAGCCAUCUUUCAAAACUUCCUUUUUUGGAAGCUUCAUGCUUAUAGCGAUCACAUUGUCCGGCAUUGGUUUUAGCACGUGUCGUCUACCAUCAUGCUUGAAUGUAUAUAGUUUGAUUUACCGGCAUGCACUGCAUCACGAUCAAACUGCCAUGGUCUUCCCAAUAACAACUGACACACGUCCAUCGACACGACAUCAUAAUCCACCUUAUCAAUAUAAUCUCCAACCGCAAAUGUCACACGUACCUUAUGUUUAAUCUUUAAUUUCCCAGAAUUAUAUAGCCAUCCCACGUGGUGCGGUUGCGGGUGCCGCCACAUGGAUAAACCCAAUUUUUGCACAAGAUCUUUGCUAAUGGCAUUAGUAAAACUGCCACCAUCAAUUAUCAUCUUACAUGCACGGUCCUUAAUCAUGCACUUUGUUUUAAAAACACUCCAUCGCUGCCCCUUUGCACCACUAUCAUCUUGUACCUUCUCCACCGAAAGAUUCAACCCCUCUGUUGGUGCAUCAACUUCUUCCUUUCUUUCUUCCUGAUGUUCUUCUCUUUUUAGCAAACGAUUUUUCCAAUCUGCCCUGAACACAUCCGUUGGCAUGGGAACAAAACAAAUUUGUUGGCCCUUCCAUGAUAGAGAGUAACUAUUUUUCUUGCAAUUCCGAAUAGCUCCAACACGUUUGCACCAUGAAUUACCAAGUAGCAGAUGGCAUGACACCAUGGACACAGGACAAACAUGAAAGAAUUCCACACAACAAUAUUUUCCCAUAUCAAAAAAUAGCAAAAUCCGAUGCGUAAUUUUGAUUUCACCUUUGAACCACUCCAGCGUGUACGGUCUUCGAAGAGGUGCCAUCUUCAGCCCCAAUUUUUCCACCACCUCGAUGCUCACCAUAUUGACCGCAGAACCUUCAUCGAUCGUCAAAUUAACACGCCGUUCCUUCACGACGCAACGAGUGUGAAAAAGAACGACCUCGCCGAUGCCUUCCUCCUCCAUCAAUAUGUUCUUGCUCAACGCCUUGAUGGUCGGCUCCCCAGACGACAUUGCCAAUUGAUCGCCGUGACCAACCUUAGCUCUGAAUACCACUUGAUGAGGCACGGACUACCAAGAUGCUAAUUCGUGCGUGUAGAUGGCCCGAUCUUUCACGACGAUACUCGGUCAACACCUCGUCUCCCUGUUCCUCCUCGUAACCUCCAAGAACAAUUUUCACCUGUGUACAAAAAUACACAAACGAAAAUAAUGACCCCCUCGGAUCAGCACGUAGGCGUCGAUGUGAUGAUCAACCCUCCGUUGCUAGUAAAUUUUCACGAUGGAAAAAUCACAGAUAAUACACAAGAUAUGGUCGCCCGUAACUCGGACGUUUUUCUGUAUAUCUCAUACCCGGAAUAAAACUCAAAACUCCCCUCCUUCACAUCGGCCGAAGCCAGCCUUUAUAUGGCUCACGCUGCAACCAGCUCGGCCUAUCUCUAAGGAAGAAAAAAUACAAACGUGAUCUGGUAUAUAACUAACCUCAAGUGCACUACCUAACAAAAUAUAUCUACUCCUACCUGCUAGCUUAAAAAGGUAACAACCACGUGAAGGAAGGAAAUGGCGUGAUUAAAUCCAUGCAGACCUAAACGUGUAGCACUAUGGUGCCAAUCCUAAUCCAUCCAGGAGGUGUACGAAAAUUAGGAUGCACCUUGGCACGUACGGGUUCCUCCAUAACCUCAGGUUUCUUGCCGUGAUGAGCAUAUACUUCUUGGAAAGGAUCUAACUUAUUUUUAUUUAUCAAACCAAAUUAACAUAUUGGCUUUAUGUAUGGGCGUGGCUCACAAGGCUUCUGCUGAUUAUUUUUCUCUCUAUAAAUCAAUCCUGAUUCUCUCAUAUUGCCUUGUGCAGGUGCACGUACAAGACUCGUAACACAUCCAUGCAUCAAUUUAUAGUCCAAAUAACCAGCUUGAUGUGCGCCCAUCUUCGCAGCACCAAUACCUGGUCCGCAUAUCAUACGUUUCUUGCCAUCUUUGCCAGUGUGCAAUAUAUUUGGACAAUUCAUAAUUUUACCAGCAUCCUUGAUUAGACUCUCCUCGCUCGACUCAGUUGGUUCGAGUUUAGUAGCAUCCGCACUGGAUAAUAUUCUAGACGUUGUAGUGUUCAUAUCAAUUUUUUGUUGAAAAGCUAGAAAAUACCGUGAAAACCGAAAAGUCAAAAUAACGGGAAAAAAUCAUCUAAAAAGCCGAAAACGUGUACGGGGAAAUAAAAUAAUUCGGAGAGAGCACCUAGAAAGCGACAUGUGGCGGCGGCUAAGAGCGCGCCAAGUGAAACGCUCUCAGCUCACCCCAAGUGAUCGUUGGGAGGCUCCCGAAGAAGCACUAGCCAACUUGUUGCUCUCGACGAAUAGGAUUUUCCAUAAAUCUCGCCAUUCCCUGCAGUAGAUGAUAACCAAAUGAACCAGCCAAAUAUGGGUUCCCUUUGUGAGCGGUUUUAGGAGGCUUCUAUGACUGGUUCGCAUAUAAGCUUCUGUGUGGGUUUAUUUGAUUUUGUUUUUGUCGGUUUAUCUUUUGGUUUUUGGUUUUCUGGGUCCCCUUAUUGGUUGUAUUCACGUGUUUAUUAUUAUUUGCGAUUUUCCUUUUUAUUUUUCUUUCUUUUUUGCAGUAUAUGUCUACAUUUUUCAAGACACACUCUACAUUUUUGUAUACAUUUGGAACAGUUGUUUGAUACAUGUUGAAACAUUCUUUUAAAUACAUGAUGAAUUUUUUUCUAAAAUAAUAUUUUGAAUAUUUUUUAAUGCGUGCUAUUUUUUUCCGAUACAUGUUUUUUAAUGAUAUGAAACAUUUAGUUCAAACUACAUGAACAUAUUUUACACUGUAUAAUAUAUUUUAAUCCCACUUACAUAUUUUUGAAAACAUAAAUUUUAAUAAAAUGUCACAUACAUUUUUUAAUGGUACUAAAAGAUUUACUUGAAUUACGAGGCCAUUUUUUGGCAUUGUACAAAGAUUAUAAAAAAAUCACAAACAUAUUUUUGAAAUGUGUGAAAAAAUUAAAUGCGAUGAACAUUUUCUAAAGUUUGCGUUAACCUUUUAAAAAUGCUCAAAGAGUGAUUUUUUAAUUUAAAUAUAAUAAUUUUGUUUUUCAAUAAACAAAAAUAAAAAGGAACCAACACUCAUCCCAUGCUGGGCCGACCCAUUGAGGUAGAAGUAGAGGCGAGUGUGUUCGUUGUUCUUGCACGAAGCUCAAGAAAAUCAAGAAGAAAUCGUGUGACGCCAAACUAGAUCGGCGGCCCUUGACUACGCCCAGCGCGUCACAACAAACUAUACGAGGCUAAUCAUCAUAGGAGGCCUCAAUAUUUAGGCCCAACAUGCUAUGAAUUAACCGUUCUAAUAAUAUACUUAGAACAAAUAAAAUAAAAGGGACGACGCUACACGUCGGUCAACCGAAAACUGGAAAAAAUAUGUCUGUAUUAAUGUGGAAUAUCUUGCCUAAUACAGUAUUAACUUAAAUUGCACAUACACAAUUAUGAGUUAUUUCAAGUGUACCAGAGCAUUUUACUCAUUCUAAAGAACACUGUUGAGUCAUUCACAUAUCCCAUGGAAAUUUGCUGUGUGUUUUGAGUUGUCUCGUUAUGAACCAAUUUAUGGCUUCCCCACCACAAGUACCAGGCUGAUAUGGCAGUUAUUUCACGCACAUUUUGAUUGCCCAUAAUACAUAACUCAUGAUUUGGCAUUGCAAGUAAAUAUUUCAAAAGUGCCUCACCCACAUAAUCUACUUCAAUAAUAUCAUCCAUCCCUAGCCUUCUCCACACUUAUUUUGCCUUGUUGCAUAGAAACAACAAAUGCUUUGUGCCUUCUGGUCCAGAGGAGCAGACAAGGCAAUUGGGUGGAACUUUCACAUGUCCAUUGGCUAGUUUAACACGACACAGAAGAGUGUCAUGAAGCGUAGGCCAAAUAAAUAUUUUAACCUUUAACGGGCAAGAGGGUUUCCAAAUCCUACACUAUGUAGGAUUAACCGUGGUACGUCUCAUCCCAUUGGUAUGCCGCAACUUGUUUCCGUAUUGGUGAUCCCAUUCCACAAAAUAAGCAGACCAAACCGAAAACGUACCAUUUUUUGUGAAAUUCCUAGCCACGAAAUCUGGCAUAUCAUGUUGCGAGAUAGGGAUCGCGAGUACUCAUUGAACAUCAAUAGGUCAUAGGGUCUAUGUGAGAAGAUCUUCGUCCCAAAUAUUAAGAACAGGAUCAAUCAAAUCUACUACCUUACAUAGCAAUUGACAUCCCUUACGAGCCAAAUCUCUAUCAAAACUUAGAGCUAAAGACCCCUGCACAAAUGCUAUAUGUAACAAAUUAAUUUUUUUAUUCCUCAAACGUAUGAGAAGCGCUUCUAGAUUGGAUACGACGCCGAGGGGAGUACAAUCACUUCCCCACCUUGUUUGUUCUAGGGUUCCCAACCUUCUUUAUUUGUAUGUAGUGCUAUUUCCCUUGGAUUAUUUUGUGUGUAUUUAGUUGCGCUAUCGUUACAUAAUCGCACACGUGUGUUAACGGAGUCUGACCUUAAUAAAGAUUUUGGAGAAAGUCCUUUCUAAUUGUCUAUGUGUAUAAUACUCUUUUCAUAUGGUUCGUUUAUGAUCAUCUUUUGCUCAAAACGAAACUGUGGUACAUUUUUUUCUUCGUGAUAACCUGGUGUGCAUCAUAACCUGUUGCAGUUUUUUUAAGUGUGCAAGUUGCACCUUAAACUUUACCAACAAAAGACGGUGCAGCUUGAAAUGAUCCGCCCAGGAAAUGGCGGAAAAUUUUCAAUUUCAUUACAAACUGCCCACAAACGCGCUCUCAAUGCCUCUUUGUUUCGAAAAAUAAACUUGAAUCUAGAGGGUGUAUCCUUCAUAUGUUAUUUUCAUUUAUUUUUCUGGCCAGCCGGGGGGUGGGGGUAAUAUAUUCUGGGUUGUUUAAUUUGUUAGUUGUUUUUAGAAUUCAUAAACGCAUUUUGAUCUUCACAGGGAUUAUUGUAUUGUACUAACAACUUUGCACACCUAGCUUCUUUUUUCUUAUAUAGCAUUGAAUUAUUGCGGUCUUGUAUUGCCUAGUGUUGACUUAAUCAAAUGGCACUAUGACAGUGACCCAACAUGACAAUCAUUCACAUAUCGGUUAAAGAAGGUUGGCACAAGAAUUUCCAUGGGAAUUGUUUGUGUGUCUUACUUGAGAUGACGGCUGGAGUUUGAUUGAUUCAACUGAAUAAAAACAGGGGGGGCUUUGAAAUGUUGAUCCAUUCUGCCAGUGCGCUGGCAAAAGAAAAAUACAACUGAAGAAAACUUAUCCUGCUCACCAAGCUGCUCUUUAAAAUGUGGUCUUUAGCAAAGUCUUCACUUCGUUUCUCUCUACAUUUUCUUCUAAAAAUCAAUGCUCUUGCUACUAUAUAGUUUAUUCUUGUAGGUUUAUAGUUUAUACUACUACAAAUAUAUUAUAUUUGAAAGGAAAAUGUUUAUUUAGCACGGUUCCCAAUGUUUCCGAUGCUUAAUUGACCAGCUUAAAAAACAGAAGAAAAAAAGUGUGACCUUGAGUGAAAAGGACAGGUGAAUCAACAUCCUGGCCGUCCAUCAAAUGGGUGGCUGUGAUCGUCACCAGCCUAGUUGACUUUGCUAAAUUUUAUUCUGGUAGUGCUCCACCUCUCACUCUCGGCCUGAAUACUAUACUCGCGCCAAUUACUUCCUGCACAAGUGAAGGUCCCAACGAGACUAACAGUGUCGCAUAUGCUCUGGUCCAUCCCUGUAUAAAGUCGCCGCGGGAUCCAGCAGAAACCUUUUCCUGCUCCGGCCGCCAUUGCCGCGACCUUGCUCACCUUGCGCAAGCUUCUGCAUGUGCUUGCAUGGUGAAACUCUUCCCCACCUUGUCCAUCUCUUGAUGUUCAUCCCAAUCUAGACUAGAGCUCCUUGAUUCCAUUGCACUACCAAGGUUCUUGGGUUCUUUGUUUGUCCAUGGAGGGGGUGGAGGAGGCCAACCGGGCGGCGGUCGUGAGCUGCAAGAGGCUGGUCGCGCGCCUCUCGCUGUCUGCCGGCGACCCGUUCCGGCUCGCCGCCGUCGCGGCCGAGACCGAGGAGGCCGUGUCCCGGUUCAGCAAGGUGGUUAACAUCCUCGGCAAUAGGGUUGGCCAUGCGAGGGCGAGGGUCGGCCGGAGGAGCUCGCCGGCGGGCGACCCGAUUGCGAGGUGCCUCCUCGAGUACCACCCUCCCCCGCCGGUGCCGUACUGCCCACCUGCCAGUGCCCCCCAACUCCAUGGGAGUAGCAGUAGCACUCCUGCGCCGCCGACGCCGCUGAAGCAGAUGGCGGUGCCGGUGGCGGCAGCGGCGGCUCCUUGUGCCGCCGGCAACGGCAAGGUCGUUGCACCGGCGGCCAAGGGUGCUGCGGACAGGGACAUGUUCUUCCAGACGCCGCUCCUGGAUUUGAGUGCGUGCAGCAGCGUUACUCCCGCCUCCAUUGCCACCGGGCAGAUCAACGGCUCGAGAGUUUCCGCAGCUCCAGCGGCCAAGGCUACAGACAGGGACAUGUUCUUCCAGACGCCGCUCCUAGAUUUGAGUGGGUGCAGCGUUACUCCCGCCUCCAUGCCGCCGUGCAGAUCAACGGCUCGAGAGUUUCCGCAGGUCCGGCGGCCAAUCCUCCUACUCCCCCUCCACCUCCUCCUCAAAUCCAUUUCCACCAUCAGAUUCCGCAGCAGCAGCAGCAGCAGCCGGCGCCGCCGCAGAAGAGGAUGCUCGAGCAGCAGCAGAGGCCGGCCAGCAGCGACAACAAGAGGUUCCACUUCGAGCCGAAGCCGGCGAGCGAGAAGCCGUUCCACAUCGAGAUCCCGGCGGCAAGGAGCGGCAAGGAGCCGGAGGUGAUCACCUUCAGCUUCGACAACUCGGUGUGCACCUCGUCGGCGGCCACCUCCUUCUUCACCAACAUGAGCAGCCAGCUGAUCAGCAUGUCGGAGACCUCCGCCUGCGCGCCGGCGUCCAGGAAGGCGGCGCACAAAGCCGACGACGACGGCAAAUGCCACUGCCCGAAGAAAAAGUCGGUGCCGGUCGCAUACGCCAUUGAUUUAUUGCACUCUGCCGAUUGCGUGCGCCUUUACUUACUUACAGUCGUGUGAUUGGUUUGGUUGCAGGAAGCCGAGGGAGAAGAGGGUGGUGAGGAUGCCGGCGGUGAGCGACAAGGUGGCCGAUAUACCUUCGGACAGCUACUCGUGGAGGAAGUACGGGCAGAAACCCAUCAAAGGCUCUCCACACCCAAGGUACUCCAAUGGCCAAUCUUGGUUAAUUACUCUAUCUCUGUCUCUCUCAUGUUCAUUAUCAAGUAUUAUCCUUGAAUCGAAUGAAACAAACUUAUUACUAGAAAUGUCAGUAAGAAUUUGUGGACAUGCACCAUAGCCGUGUCGCAUUCAUUGGGCGUGCAAGCAUGCAUUUGGUGCUGAGUGAGACAUUACAAUAGGAUUCAGGCGGGUAUGAAGUAUGAACUUGUUGUUGAUUAAUUGCAGGGGAUACUACCGGUGCAGCAGCAUCAAGGACUGCCCGGCGAGGAAGCACGUGGAGCGGUGUCGCGGCGACGCCGGGAUGCUCAUCGUCACCUACGAGAACGACCACAACCACGCGCAGCCGCUCGACCUCGCCACGCUCACCGCCAACUCCGAAGUCUGACCGAGGCUGCCGGUGCCGGAAGAACUCUGAAUUUUUAUGCCAUGGAUGGAGCAUGCCAUUCAGCCUGACCAAAUCUGAAUGCAAGUGAAAAUUGUAUGAGGAAGGCGAAGAUUUCGCCUACGUCUUUGGCAAUGUAUAGUGAGCACUUGAUUGUCCUUUUGGAUUGUAUCCUGUCGAAAAAUCGCUCCGCACAAAUGCUUGUUAAAUUUCCUUGUAGAAUUAGUACUAGCUUUGCUUGUUUUCUUUUUAGUGUAACUUUGCUUGUUUAACCACGGUGCAGAAAUCACAAUUCAUGGUAUUGUCCAGCUUGUCACAUACGUGUGACCUAAUGUGCAGAAAUCACAUGUUGAAAGCUUUUUUGAGCUUGACACAUGACAUGCCAUCUUUCCUAAUGUCAGAAACUAAGAGCAUCUCCAACAGCCGGCUAAGCGCCGCGCGCAAAAAAACAGUUUGCCGCGCGCGCUUCGGCCUGUUUAGCGCGGCCGUCAGUGCUGGCUCCAGCAGCCGCGCUAUACUGCAGCGCGCGCGCCGCUCCAGCAGCGCGCAAAAAUACAGCGUGUGCGACUCGCCGGCAGCGCGCGUGACUCGCCGGACAUGUAUGAUAUUUUGGACACAAAAUGAGUUUGAAACAUUCAUCAAAAUACAAUGAACAUAAGAAAUUUGACACAAACAAGUUGAUGAAUAAAAGUUCAUGCCCACAAGUUCAAAAUCAUGCCCACAAGUUUAUCCAACCAAGUUCAAAUGCAAACUAAAAAUUCAAGACAUAAUAAAUGAAAGACAUAUCAAUCAUCUUCCUCGUCUUCGUCCUCAUCUUCCGAAGACGAUUCUUCCGCCUCCGAAGAUGAAUCUUCCUCCCUACCCUCAUCACGCAUCGCAUCACGUGAAGCUCCGACGGUGUUGGCAAGAUCUUCAACGGCAUCUUCAUGGAAAUGUGUGUGAGGAGGCACAUCGAAAGACAUUUCACCCAUGGCCGGAGGUGCACCCAUGCCUCCCAUAAGAGAAGCAAAACUCAUGCCUCCCAUGGCGGUCAUAGCGUCAGAGGGUGCUCCAAAGCCACCCAUGCCUCCCAUGGCGGCCGGAGGUGUACCCAUGCCUCCCAUGGCUCCCAAGCCAUCCAUGCCUCUCAUGGCGCCAAGGCCACCGCCACCCAUGCCGCCAAGGCCACCGCUACCCAUGCCGCCAAGGCCACCGCCACCCAUUGUGCGGAUCAUGGCUCUUUUUUGGAUCAAGACUUCUUCACGGGCAAGGUUGACAUAUUCCUUUUGCGCACCAUUGAACAAAGAUGUGUCCAAGAAGAACAAGUGCUUCUCCCAUUCCAACAACCUAGAUCGCUCCUCCAUGCCCACCUUCCUCUCUUCCAAUGCCACUUUCCUCUCCUCGGCGGCCACCCUCCUCUCCUCGGCCGCGGCAUCUUGGUUCCUUGCCAUUUUCCUCAUCUCCUUGGCUUCUUUUCUUGCCUUCACAAUAGCUUCCAUAGCAUUUUUGAGCUCAUCAUCUCCUUUCCUCUUCUUUUUUUCGGUUUUGUCUUUCUUGCACACAUCUGGUCGUUUUGGCUUCGAGUAUGAAACCGAGUUGGGUGUGGGGCUUCUCUUGCCGUCAUCACUUGAUGCAUCAUCCUCCUCAUCAUCAUCAUCCAACUCAAUUCUACGCUUGCGUUUGUUGCUCAAAUGCAAAUCAUCCAAACCAUCACGCUUCUUCCAUUUCUCAUCAUCCUUUAACACUUCAUAGCAAUGAGGCAAGGUAAAGACCCUUCCUUUCUUGAUCUUCCCCUUCUUGGUUGUCCUCGUCUCUUCUUUGAACAAGUUUUGUGCAAUGUUGAACUACAAGAAAAACAGAACAAGUUAGCAGUUCGGACACCAAAAACAAGUAUGAGAUGAACAUAUAUGAGAUGUCACUUACUCUAUCAUCCUCAUUUGUGCCACUUGGGUUAAUCUUGUCAACUGCCUUUUAUGCGGCCGCCCACUUUUGACAAUCCGAGUUGAUUGUGAACCAUCGGGACCGAAGUGAUCUCUCGGAGCGGUCAAUUCCAUUCACGUUGUGAUCAUCAAAGUAUUUUUUUUCAUUCGCCCCCAAUACGCAUCUCUACUUUGAUCACCUCCAAUGGAUGGAUCCCUCGACACUUGCAAAUAAGUAUUGCAUAGUAACUUGUCAUCGUUGGUGCUGUAAUUGCCCGCUCUUCCUUUCGGCGCGUCGACAAUGCCCUCACCCUCCUCGUCCACCUUAAACUCAUGGUCUUCCAAAUGGAUGUCAUUGGUUUGAGACCAAUGCGAAUUGUUGGACCCAACACCCAUAGUUGACAUGUAUGCAUCAUCGUUGAGACUACAAAGUUUUUUGAACAAUGCAAAUAAGCUAUCUAUAUGUGAUGAUGCAUUGAAAAAAUAACAAGAAAAUAAAAGUUGAAAUUUUUUUCACCUUGGGGGCAUUUCGUCGAACACGUGGUGCGCGUCGGCGGCCGGCUCAACGAGUGAGCUCGCCGGCGCUUCAGUAGCCGCCGCGGCCGUCGAACGCCCUGCAAGCUUCUUUUCCCUCGCCUUCGUGCUGCCGGAGCCGUCCGCCGCCUUGUUCUUCUUCGCUGAAGUUUUGCCCUUCUUCGGCCGCGCCGCAUUGGGGAGCUUCGACGGUGCGGCGGCGGCAUGGGACGGCGCCGGCGCGACACCACCCGUCGCCGUGGUCAUCUGCGGCGGCAAGAAGAGGUUGCGUGCGAGGCCGACGCUCGGCGGAGCUCCGGCGGUGGCGACGCCAACGCUCCCCGUGCUAGGGUUUCCGGCGACGGCGGGGGGGAGGGGGGUCGCGGCUGUAAAGCGGUGUGAGUGGGGUGCCGGUGUGCGCGUCCAUGGCUGGCAAGGCGCCAGCGCAGGCGCGCGCGGGGCGUAGGAGGAGGAGAGGAGAGAGUGCGGCACGAGCGCUCGAGUGUGCCGCGCGCGGAAGCCGGCGCCCGAAAUACACCGCGCGGGAUAGUGCUUCUGACCGCGCGCCCAACUCGUUAUAGGGCGCGCGCCGUUUUUGCGCGCCCGCUGGAGCGACCCGCCGCGUUGCGCGCGCGCUAAAACGGCCUAAUUUGCGGCACGGCGCUAGUUUAGCGCGGCUGUUGGAGAUGCUCUAAAGAUUGCACAUAUUAUCAUCACAGAAACUAAAAGCUCAUCUGACAAGAGCUAUUGAGAAUUUCAGAUGCAGUUAUUCGACUAACUAACGUGAUGUUAAGCGUAUCUUACGGAGUUUAAUUGUGCGCAUCAACGACAACGCACGCACGCUCGAGAGAUCAAGCCAAUAAAUGGGAUGAUUGCUUCAGAUAUAUUCCAAAAACUGUCAUGAACCAACCAGCUAGAUAGAUCAUCAUGAUUUAUAUGUACGUACCGGCCUGCCGAUCUUCCAAAAUCCAGUCCAGUGGGAUGGCGAUCUACCUGUUAAGCCGCUGCUUAAGCUAAGCCUAAGCCAACUGUAAACCACCCCAACAAGUGGCUGCAAAACAUUGACCAAAACCUAGUUUAAUCCACGCCUGGUGUCUCUCGCCCUCUGCAGCUGAAGCAUGCGGGGUGCUAAUCUAUUCUGGAACCACAUGAGGCGGAAUCAAGAGAAUCAUGGUGGCAUUAAUGCGAGCCACCCCCACGAUUAGCGGCGCUAAGCAUGUGCCGCAACUGUAUGUCUGUCAGGGGGGAGGAGAUGAGUGGGUGGAGCUGGCCAACGGUUAUGUCCACCUGGCUUUGCCCUAUUAUUAUCACAAGUUUUUACUAAUUGAGACGCUCGAUUAUUUGGGGAGUGGCAUGCGUGCGCAUCAGAUAUCUCAAACUUAUGAUGAUAAUGAAAAUGGAUGUGGUUGUUAUCUCUAUAUCCGGAAUUGAGAUCAUGAAAUCGGAGAUAGGAUCAUGUGCCUACGGUAUGUCUUCUCUGUAGACAGAUGGCCCAACAAAAAGAGAUGAGACGAAUGAUGUAUUUCAUUUUAGGAUGAUAUAUGCCGGAUUUUAGAUGGGCGGAGACCCCCCCUUCACCUUUCCUUUUUAACAUAACUGCCAACUGCUUGCAGCAAAUGAUUCAGUUAGCCCGGCCAUGUGGUCAGAUUGUGGGCCUGAUACCCCACCAACAAGGAUUCCAGUUGUCAUUUUGCAAUAUGUUGAUGAUAUUAUCCUGUUCAUGUUCAUACAGGAUGAUCUGGAUAGUGCUAGGAACCUCAAAUUGUUGUUGUACUUCUUUGACCAGAUGUCAGGUUCGAAAAUCAAUUUUCAAGAACAAUGGAGUCCUUGAUGGUGUGAUGAUAAAAGGCAUAGUUAUGAUGACCAAUUUAAGUGCAAACUAGGGGCCUGGCCUAUCAAAAAUAUCUAGGGGUGUUCCUGCUUGUGGGAGUAGACUACAUGUAUACCUGGCCAUACCUCGGGCCGGGCCUAGCCAAGCCCGACGCAAAAAACCCAGGCCCGAGCCCGGCCUGGCACGGCCAUCAAGCUUGUUUUCUGUUCCUGAGCCCGGCCCGAAGACGUAAAAGCCCGUCGGGCUUCGGGCCGGCCCGGCCCGACCUUUAGAAAAACGCAAAAAAGACGGGGCCAGGCCUGGCCUUCGGGCUCAAAAUCUAGGCCCGAGCCCGGCCCGGGGACAACGCCGGACCGGGCCGGGCUUCCCAUGGCCAGGUAUAACUACAUGUUGCUGAAGAGAACGGAGGGCUGGUAAGCUGGAAACAUGUCCCUUGGUGCCAAGGUGAUUCCCUAAGACAAAUAUAGGGAGGAUGGAAAAUUCUAGUGGAUGCCACUGGGUAUUUGUAGGCAAAAGAAGAAAGGAGGGCUGGGUAUCUACGCCAUGCUAGGUUGAUUUGAUGAAACUCAAACAUAUAUCUAUGGUACAACUGCUGGUGUGGAGAAACCUCUUUUGAUCAAUUCCCUGGGCUUUUUGAAAUUAUGAAUAGAAAAUUUUGGACUGAUGACCCUAACUGCUGCUCUAUGCUGAAAAUGAUAGUUUUGCCCGACUCAUCCAAAGAUCAUGAAGCGGAGCUACUGUGUCUCUUGAUCAUGCCAGAUUCACGGUUUGUCAAGAGAAUUGUUUGGACUGCCUAGUCAGACGACGCGCCUGUGUAAACACAUCCUACAGCUUAACCAUUUUAUCAUCCAAAGGACAAUUCACAACCUGAUGACUAAAACAAUACUCUACUUAGACGCAAAGCAAUCUGAUCAAAAUUUAUAAGAGCACACAAUUCAGAUCAUAUGAUAACUGCCAAAGGAUUAGAAGAGCACACAAAUCAGAUCAUAUGAGAACUGCGAAAGGGAGAUAAACAUGUUUGAUCUUCCUUACGAUAACUUCAAAAUCUGGAACAGGAUUAAGUUCAGGGUUCAAAGGGUGCUGCUCCACCACUAGACUGACAGUCGGUAUAUCAGGCACUACAUUUGACUACGAUAAGAACACUGGAUUCCAGACACCACAGACAAUUUCCCUGACCAUAUUCUCACUUGAGAGGAAUGAACCUCGACGAGUGGGUAGCACCGAUACCAGGCCUCCCGUGCUUCACCGGCUUGUACGACAGGGAGAACUCUGCCAGGUAGUGCCCGAUCAUCUCCGGCUUGAUCUCCACCUGGUUGAAGCACUUGCCAUUGUAGAUGCCCACG